This is a long non-coding RNA of Suricata suricatta (meerkat), 836 nucleotides long. RefSeq lists it as uncharacterized. The record is from RefSeq and is a predicted model, not a curated record. Lineage: Eukaryota; Metazoa; Chordata; Mammalia; Carnivora; Herpestidae. The transcript has 4 exons.
UCCAGAGGCCCUACCUGGCAAGCCAGUAAAUCAUCAGGUCACAGGCUAUAGAACAUGCGGUGAAGAAGUGUGCCAGUCCAGGGGUAGGCAUACUGGAGUGGUCUGGGGCCCAUCCCACACCUGCUGAAGGCCAAGGAUAGCAUGCCCACUCACAACUGAAACUCUACACCUUUCAGGAAAUAUUCAGGAGACUCUGAGUUCCCUGGCCACCUACUUGUCACAGAGAAGACCAGACCACAGCCUUGAGUCAGAAGACCUGGUUUGGGGUUUAGGUGAAAAGCCAUUCAAUUGAGUUCAACAGUCCUGAUCAGGAUCCUGGUCAUGCUUCUUUAUCUGUGUAUCCUUGGUAAUGCAGGAAGUGUCUGAUGCCUUCUACCAAUCUCCAUGAAGAUCUGGGCAGGAAGGAGACUGUUCAUUUUGGAAGGUUGAAGAUGCAUUCAUGGCUUCUGCCAGAGUGAGUUUAGACAGGACUCCUGAGGGCUUGUCUUCCCUGCCUGUGAGCCCAGAGCUGCUCUUUCCAGCAGAAUAUAGACCCCGAAAGGACUCCAAAGAAGAUGUGUACAAUAAACACUCUGUUUGGAAGAACUGUCAGCAGGUUCCUAGAACAGAUCCAGAGAUAGCAGCAUUGUGAAUUAGGUGUUAAUUGCUUCCUGGAAAGCCAGCCUUUUGAUGGGAGAAGGCUCAGGGACAGUACAGAUUACUCAGGCCAGCACACUUCCUCUUUUUCUGGGCUUUGGAAUCCAGGUGGUAGAAAACCUUGGGGAAAAAAAUCUCGUUGUUGGCCAGAAGUUGGAGUGCUAAUUAUAGACAGAAGGCCAGAAAAGGCCUGGAAAGUU